Molecule: ribosomal RNA, 465 nt
Filed under: Vreelandella stevensii
Lineage: Bacteria; Pseudomonadati; Pseudomonadota; Gammaproteobacteria; Oceanospirillales; Halomonadaceae
Description: partial 16S ribosomal RNA
Rfam family: Bacterial small subunit ribosomal RNA
Source: RNAcentral
CCUACGGGAGGCAGCAGUGGGGAAUAUUGGACAAUGGGGGGAACCCUGAUCCAGCCAUGCCGCGUGUGUGAAGAAGGCCCUCGGGUUGGAAAGCACUUUCAGUGAGGAAGAACGCCUGGUGGUUAAUACCCAUCAGGAAAGACAUCACUCACAGAAGAAGCACCGGCUAACUCCGUGCCAGCAGCCGCGGUAAUACGGAGGGUGCGAGCGUUAAUCGGAUUUACUGGGCGUAAAGCGCGCGUAGGUGGCUUGAUAAGCCGGUUGUGAAAGCCCCGGGCUCAACCUGGGAACGGCAUCCGGAACUGUCAAGCUAGAGUGCAGGAGAGGAAGGUAGAAUUCCCGGUGUAGCGGUGACAUGCGUAGAGAUCGGGAGGAAUACCAGUGGCGAAGGCGGCCUUCUGGACUGAAACUGACACUGAGGUGCGAAAGCGUGGGUAGCAAACAGGAUUAGAUACCCCGGUAGUC